Long non-coding RNA from Gallus gallus (chicken), 2098 nucleotides. NCBI's taxonomy places the organism in Eukaryota, Metazoa, Chordata, Aves, Galliformes, Phasianidae. The record is from Ensembl.
UCUGCAGUGACGGUAGCAAGUUCAAUAACGUGUAGUGCAUACGUUUUCUCUCAGCUACAAAGCACCUUCCUUAAGAAAUGCUUAUAAAAUAUUCAAUGUAAACUACUGAAGAAACUCAUAUUUAGUAGUACUCCCCAAGCUGUGAGUACAUUUCUUGAUUUUACUUUAAUGUUUUUCAUUGCAGUAUAAUUUAUUACCCAAAACUUGCUUUCAUCACAAUUAUUUGUAAAAUUGUGUUUUAAAAAUUCUAAUGGAAUGAAAGGAAUUAGCUGAUUUUGUUCAGCUUCUCAGAAGUUACCUGGAGAAUUAGGAAUAGUUGAAAAUACAUUGCAUUAGAUAUUUUUAUUCUGUACUGCUUCUCUGAGAAUGCUUUUUAUGCUAUCGAAGUACAGCGCAUGGUAACUAUAUUUUGUAAUGACAGACAAUUCCAAUGGUGAGCAUGUACUCAGUCUUCAGUGCUUACAAUAUUCCUUUUUUCUCAUCAUGUCUACACUGGAUUUUCUCACUCAGCUACUGUAUGUGCACUGCUUCAUCCUUAUUGUCAGUGUACCUCCAUGACCAGCUGAAGAGAUUACCAACUCUAGACAACUCCCAGAUGUUUGUUGCCAUCCUCUUGCCAAGAAAUGCUGCCUUGUCAGAUCCACUGGUUAAAUUACGUGUGCUAUCAUUUCCUAAUUUAUAUCAAAAUGAGUUUAGUUGGCAAAACAGUGCCCAGGAACACCAUGGCAGAAGAAGAUAGAAAAAGGAUCUACAACUGAGUGAUGUCUGAUACCAGAUACCUCAUGAUGUGAUACCUGCCUGCUGCUGGACUUUCCUGGGCCUGCUACCUGAGACCUACCUGUUUCUCCUGGACUCGCUCUUGCUGCACCUGCUUGUUGCCUAAGGCUGGCCGCUCUGCUGCUGCUCUCCUCUGCGCCCUUGCUCCUGUAUUGGCCUUGGACCAUCGGAAUGGUGUGCAAUGGGAUGCUGCUGGAUCUUGGUGGUAUACUGCGUAGUCUGAAAUGCAUUAUAGUAACCUGUAUCUUCUGGGAAUUCUCUGUCUCCAUGAACCACGGCAGCAUUGAGUGGAGCAGAAACCGAAUUUCGGCCUUGAGAAAUCAAACUCCCUAGAUAAAGUCAUGAAGAUGCAGGUGUUUUAUGAAUUAUGUCUAAUAUUAAAUAACAGCUAUCAACAAAAUAAUCCGCCCAUGCCUUCUAUUCACCAAAAUAAUAGCAACAUAAAAAUACAUAUCAUAAAGUAGACGACCUCCAACAGUUUCCCUCUACAGCUACGUUAAAUGUACUUAAUCCAGUGUGGAUGGCAACAUAAAGCAACUUUUAUUCAUAUCCCCAUGAUUCUGCUUCACCUCAAUGAAAUGAAUACCGCUUUCAAAGAAAAUUGAAAACCAAAUCAAAACCAAAAAAACCCUACUGUCAUUAUAAUACCUGCAGAGUGAUACCACUAACGGACCUGACUGUUUGUUUCUAAGGAAGAACAGCUGUGCAACAGACUGUCUGAACAGUCACUAUUACAGAAUGCAACAUGGAUCACUGACACAAAGGAAGCACUACACCAGCUGGCUUUCUGUCUUAGAGCAUUUCUAUUCCUAGAUGAUUUACCUGUUCUCAGUCCUGUCACCUUAGCACUUCUACUACCCAAUUAAAAAAUGAUGUUGCUGAAUUCUCUCUGCUGUAAAUUAAAUAUGUUAUUUAUCAGAUCAAACUGCUAUGGUUUUUUUUAAACUUUGCAAUAUAUGACUUAUUUUUAAACUUAGCUGCUUGAUUAUUUAUUUAUGGUAUAUUUUGUUCUCUUGUAGAGUUUAGAUCAGAAAAAUUCUUUUCUAAUGUAUUCACAUGCAGUGAUCUACAUUUCCUAAUCAUAAUCAUGUCAGCAAAAGCGGAGCUGCUCUUAGGAUAACGUUUUAGUCUAGAAAAUGAUUUCCCUUUAAAAUGGAUUCAAUGGACAUGAUGAUAUAAAAAGAAGAUGCAAAAUUACACACAACAGUUUGCAUAAUCAAAACAGAUAUGUUUUGUAUUCAGGGAAGAUUUCUUUUUGCUACAUUAAAUGGAAGAAAAUAAACCUUUUGGAAUUCUGCAAGUGUGCUGUGGAUGUAAAGGC